This is a long non-coding RNA of Lepisosteus oculatus (spotted gar), 1849 nucleotides long. RefSeq lists it as uncharacterized. The record is from RefSeq and is a predicted model, not a curated record. NCBI's taxonomy places the organism in Eukaryota, Metazoa, Chordata, Actinopteri, Semionotiformes, Lepisosteidae.
AUUUAUUCGUUCAUGUAAUUUUAUUUAAAAAAAGUUGUCUUGAGAAUCAUUUCAAACAUUUUAACCUCUUUCAUACAUGACAUACUACCUCCCCCAACUCUAUUACAAAUUUUGAAACUUUAUUUUUUACUGUGAUGUCACGAAAAAAUAAUAAGUCAUGUCCAGUCACAAAAAAGGCUAGAAAAGAUCUUUACAGAGGCGUUUCAGUAGCUUUAUUGCUUGAAAUGAGAGUAAACAGGCGAACCGCCUCGUCUCGGGACUGUGACUUGGCUUUAGUCUGAAUAAGAGAUGGAAAUGGCCGGUAUUUUGCGUGGCCGGCCUGGUGGCUCCGCGGGCCGAACCAUCGGACACUUCUAAAGUUCAGAGAGAAAAUUGGCUCCUGGAGAGUCUUGUGAGUUAUAGUCGAGCCCCGAGCCUCCCCAUCAGUCUGAGACCUAAGCCCCGGGUGAAGCUCUCAUGCUGUCGGGGUGAGUUUGUGCAAGUGGCUGUUCUCUACCACGCUGGCCGUUUUGGGGGGCUCCAUUUUCGGGGCCUUCCAAAACAGGGCAAAUGGGGGGUUUAAGACCUUUAUAACUGCAUAGAUCGGAAUUCAAUUCUAAAAAGCAGCCCCUUAUACCACUGUGACACCUGCAGGACAGGUGUGGCACUAGCAGUGAAAGAGAGGUGCAGUCCUAACUAGGAGCGACAGGGGUCUCUCUCCAGCACAUUUCUCUUGAUUCGACCAGCUGGCCGCAAGCUAAACGAGUCCGGCGAACAGUUUUGUAGGGGAAUGUCACUGAAUUGGGUUCUCUGAAAAUCCUUAGCCGUUAAAUACUAAAUUUAUGAUUUGGUGAGUUCAAGUUUCUAUUUAUCUUCAGUAGCGUGAGUGUUGAGCCCUUGUAACCGAGUGCACAGCUGUCAUUCAGGAGCCGAGCCCGCCCCCAGAGUGACCUUCCUCAGCGGACACGCCCCGUCCACCUGUUCCACAGGUGCGCCCGGCAAGAUGGCGGCGGGGUGAGUUUCUGCGGCGUGAGGACGCUGAAAUGAGUGUACUGUUUGAGCGUGCUCUCGAAGGUUUAGAAGUCUGCGGUCCCAUCCUAUCUUUCAUGUGAGAAAAACAUGUCAAGAACGAACCUCCAGUUAUGAAAGUGUUUUUCCAAGGACGCCGAAAUGAGUGUCCUGUCUGUUUGAGCGUGCUCUCGAAGUUGUAAAAGUCUGCAUUCAGCGUUCUUAUACUACCUUUCAUGUGACAAAGGGAUUUCAAAAACCGGCCUCCAGUUAGAUUUUUUUUUCCGAGUUCUUCGGUUCCUGCUGCUCUGCGCUCCGACGAUCUCCUUUCCAAUCCACUCCAGCAACUCGACGAGCGUUGGCAGGUUCUUCUUGACAAUGUGUGCUUUUUCUUGAACUUUAUUUUGAUACCCGUGGCUUGAUCUGUAAUGUACCCUUUGUAUACCGAUAUAUAUUAUUGUUAACCUGCAUGUUUCAUGUUGACUGCUGCUAUUGUAUGUGCUGCGGCUCCUGGUUCUCUGUGUUCCGACGAUCUCCGGCAAUUUAUUCUUGACAAUGUGUGCUUUUCCUUGAUUUUUUUUUUGUAUCGGUGGCUUGAUCUGUAGUGUACCCUUUGUAUACCGAUUUAUGUUAUUGUUAACGUGCAUGUUUCCUGUUGACUGAUGUUAUUGUAUGUGCUGCAGCUCCGGCAAUUUAUUCUUGACAAUGUGUGCUUUUCUUGCUUUUUAUUUUUGUUACCAGUGGCUUGAUCUGUAAUGUCCCGAUUCAGUGCUGUAUUUUAUUCUUGACCUGCAUGUUUUCUGUUGACUGCUGCUAUUGUAUGUGGUGUGAAUUCUGCAAUAAAAACUCUCGUUUCAUUGUC